Sistotremastrum suecicum HHB10207 ss-3 is the source of this 93-nucleotide transfer RNA. It matches the Rfam family "tRNA". From Rfam's summary of the family: Transfer RNA (tRNA) molecules are approximately 80 nucleotides in length. NCBI's taxonomy places the organism in Eukaryota, Fungi, Basidiomycota, Agaricomycetes, Sistotremastrales, Sistotremastraceae. The record is from Rfam.
GGACCCGUAGCUCAGCUGGUAGAGCUUUGUACUUAUGGGCAGCAUUAAACCUUAGCUAUGCAAGGGUCGCGAGUUCAAUCCUCGCCGGGUCCA